This is a non-coding RNA of Lactuca sativa (garden lettuce), 706 nucleotides long. NCBI's taxonomy places the organism in Eukaryota, Viridiplantae, Streptophyta, Magnoliopsida, Asterales, Asteraceae. The record is from RefSeq and is a predicted model, not a curated record.
UUUCCCUCCCAGCUGGAGUCAUGACUCCCGCCUCUACCUUUUCGACUUCAUAUCUCCCACUCUCGUUAGGGUUUGAAAUUAGGGCAUUCUUCGAGCUUAUAUCCGUCCUUAUUUUUUUUUUUUGUGCCACUAUGCUACAUCGAUCCAUCCCAACUUCGACAUUAACUCAGCCGACAUCUGUAUUGGGAGCACAUACGAUCUUCAUUCGUCCCAAUUCGUAUCUCCUCACCAUCUUCCUGCGGUCUACAAAUCUUCCGACUUCAACGAGGCUAUUGAACUUUUGAAGCUACAAGCUCUCUGGUCUCUUGGAGUGCAGAGACAAUGAAACCCAGAUUGAAGUCAUUGAUACGAGUAAGGAGGUGGAUUUGGAUCUUAUCAAGACAAAUUUGUCAGGUUUGACACCUUAUGCUGCUGGCUAUCCUUUUCUUUCUCUUUUUCUAUUCUAUGUACCCCUGCUUUUUGUAGUUCAGAUAAACUGAGAUGACAAUUGCUGAUAAAUCAACAAAGAUUAUAGAAUGUCAACGUGUUUGUUUUAGUAGCAAGGACUCUAUGAUGCUGAAGCUACAUGUUACAUAUACAUCGCUUUGUAGCAUCACAAAAAACAUAGUUGGUUAUACCUUGUGGGUGACAAUAUCAUCCAUCAACCUGCAAAUCCCACAAGAAGCUUUUACAAUAGGAGGAUAGCUGAAAAGCCAUUGGAAUGUCU